This 591-nucleotide ribosomal RNA is filed under the name uncultured bacterium. RNAcentral describes it as "bacterial SSU rRNA". It matches the Rfam family "Bacterial small subunit ribosomal RNA", at positions 338 to 944 of the family's 1533-position model. The record is from RNAcentral.
CCUACGGGAGGCAGCAGUGGGGAAUUUUCCGCAAUGGGCGAAAGCCUGACGGAGCAACGCCGCGUGAGGGAUGAAGGCCUCUGGGCUGUAAACCUCUUUUAUCAAGGAAGAAGAUCUGACGGUACUUGAUGAAUAAGCCACGGCUAAUUCCGUGCCAGCAGCCGCGGUAAUACGGGAGUGGCAAGCGUUAUCCGGAAUUAUUGGGCGUAAAGCGUCCGCAGGCGGUCUUGUAAGUCUGUCGUUAAAGCGUGGAGCUCAACUCCAUUUCGGCGGUGGAAACUACAAGACUAGAGUGUGGUAGGGGCAGAGGGAAUUCCCGGUGUAGCGGUGAAAUGCGCAGAUAUCGGGAAGAACACCAGUGGCGAAGGCGCUCUGCUGGGCCAUAACUGACGCUCAUGGACGAAAGCUAGGGGAGCGAAAGGGAUUAGAUACCCCUGUAGUCCUAGCCGUAAACGAUGAACACUAGGUNUCGGGGGAAUCGACCCCCUCGGUGUCGUAGCUAACGCGUUAAGUGUUCCGCCUGGGGAGUACGCACGCAAGUGUGAAACUCAAGGAAUUGACGGCUGNGAGNGCGAGCGACGACGAGGAGAG